AGCGUUUGCGGGAUGAAGAUAUUNUUCUUGACUCANUUCUGGAUAAUUCUUUGUCCAGCUGGGAACACGAAUCGAUUGACGAAGUAGAGAGAAAAGAUCAACACGGUAGCGGCUUUUCACCCACGAAGGAACCAUUACACAAACGAAGUCGUCUUGAAUGUGAAACGUGUGGAAAAUCGUUUUCAAGAAAAGAUGCCUUGAAACGACACGAGAAGGUUCAUCAAAAAGAGAAAAAUCAUCAAUGCGGACAAUGUGGGAAGAACUUCAGCCGUCGGGACUACUUAAAAAAGCAUCAGAAAGUUCACGAGAAACAUAGUGUUGCGCGUGAGUAUAAAUGUUUGACCUGCGGGCAAACGUUUAGUUCAGUUGGACAAUUCAAAUCCCACCAGAAGUCAGUCC
RNAcentral lists this long non-coding RNA (399 nucleotides) under Exaiptasia diaphana. Its description in RNAcentral is "uncharacterized LOC110239212". The record is from RNAcentral. Lineage: Eukaryota; Metazoa; Cnidaria; Anthozoa; Actiniaria; Aiptasiidae.